GAUGAACGCUAGCUACAGGCUUAACACAUGCAAGUCGAGGGGAAACGAUAGAGAAAGCUUGCUUUUUCUAGGCGUCGACCGGCGCACGGGUGAGUAACGCGUAUCCAACCUGCCCACCACUUGGGGAUAACCUUGCGAAAGUAAGACUAAUACCCAAUGACGUCUCUAGAAGACAUCUGAAAGAGAUUAAAGAUUUAUCGGUGAUGGAUGGGGAUGCGUCUGAUUAGCUUGUUGGCGGGGUAACGGCCCACCAAGGCGACGAUCAGUAGGGGUUCUGAGAGGAAGGUCCCCCACAUUGGAACUGAGACACGGUCCAAAACUCCUACGGGAGGCAGCAGUGAGGAAUAUUGGUCAAUGGACCGAGAGUCUGAACCAGCCAAGUAGCGUGCAGGAUGACGGCCCUAUGGGUUGUAAACUGCUUUUANAAGGGAUAAAGUUGGCCAUGUAUGGCCAUUUGCAGGUACCUUAUGAAUAAGCAUCGGCUAAUUCCGUGCCAGCAG
This 500-nucleotide ribosomal RNA is filed under the name uncultured bacterium. RNAcentral's name for it is "bacterial SSU rRNA". It matches the Rfam family "Bacterial small subunit ribosomal RNA", at positions 28 to 514 of the family's 1533-position model. The record is from RNAcentral.